UACGUAGGGUCCGAGCGUUGUCCGGAAUUAUUGGGCGUAAAGGGCUCGUAGGCGGUUUGUCGCGUCUGCUGUGAAAUCCCGAGGCUCAACCUCGGGCCUGCAGUGGGUACGGGCAGACUGGAGUGCGGUAGGGGAGAAUGGAAUUCCUGGUGUAGCGGUGAAAUGCGCAGAUAUCAGGAGGAACACCAAUGGCGAAGGCAGCUCGCUGGGACGGUACUGACGCUGAGACGCGAAAGCGUGGGGAGCAAACAGG
RNAcentral lists this ribosomal RNA (253 nucleotides) under uncultured bacterium. Its description in RNAcentral is "partial 16S ribosomal RNA". It matches the Rfam family "Bacterial small subunit ribosomal RNA", at positions 524 to 776 of the family's 1533-position model. The record is from RNAcentral.